AUUUUCAGCCAGAGCCACAUCAAAAAGUCGACUGACGUCAAAGUUUACCAAAUUCUUGUGCAUAAAAUCAACGUCAAUUAGCAAAGUCCGAGAAGAAUCAACUAUCAGACGGUAUGUGAAAUCUUUUAAAUACCCUCACCUAAGCUCUCAGUGCAAAAUAAAGUUCUAGUCUCAAAAGAAGAGCCUGGCAAAAGUUUCUUUCGCAAACAAAACUUUGAAAAUGUAUUUAAACUUCAGAGCGAAAAACUUAGGCUUGUUCCUCUCCACUCGUAUUAAUUAGCAAAUUCAUUAAACAUGAAUUUCUCCAACCACUGGCCUGCUUUUCAAUAUGACCCAGUUUAAAAAAAAAAUAUAAAACAAACCGAAUUUUGUCACUAGAACUUUAGUCCAUUUUGUGUCACUAUGAAGCCAAUCUGCGGUUUGUAGCUGCAGUACUUUUGACUACCAAAAUUGUACAAUUACUGACUUUUUUUGCAGCUGCAACUGUCAGUCUUUUAGUAUGGAUUUCAUUGAUAAGAAACGGCCAUGCGGUGGAUGAGCCUCCGCUGUCUGUGCUGAGAGCUGAAGGAGAUGAUGGAAAACCUCCACUGAUCGUGUUGACGAGUUCCAUAACAAUGCCAGUGCCAACGGAGGGAGUCAAAUAUGAAGCAACGGAGCCAGGAACCAACAGCGAUGUUACAGCUGUUCCAGAGACACCACAACUACCCACACGGGCGCCUCACAAGAAGAAGCCGCCACCCAACGGCCCUCAGGCCCCACUCUUGUCAAUGCCUGAAAUGUGGAACAGUUUUCCGCUGUCAAAUGCUGCUGCAAGGCCAGUUCCAGUACCACCCUCUGCGAUCCCGUUUUACUACCCGCUGCCUGUAUAUAUUCCAUAUCCGAUUCCAUUUGUGCUGAACUAUGCCCCGGAGGACCAAAGCGGAGUGCAAUUCAAUGAACUACUGCCUGAGCAGCUCAGCAAAGAAC
This 966-nucleotide long non-coding RNA is filed under the name Drosophila guanche. The record is from RNAcentral. Lineage: Eukaryota; Metazoa; Arthropoda; Insecta; Diptera; Drosophilidae.